UUAAGUUCAGCGGGUGAGUCCUACUCGAUUUGAGGUCAAGUUGUCAGUCGUUGUCUGAAAGACGGUUGGGAGCACAGAGCUCCUGAUCAGCCACCCUCUUGCGAGGUGCCGGCGAAGACACUUAUCACGCCGUACUAUGUCCAACCAAGAGUUGUACUAACUCAUUUGAGGUGAGCCACAACUAAAGCAGCAACACCCAA
RNAcentral lists this unclassified non-coding RNA (200 nucleotides) under Sebacina sp. RNAcentral describes it as "partial internal transcribed spacer 2". The record is from RNAcentral. Lineage: Eukaryota; Fungi; Basidiomycota; Agaricomycetes; Sebacinales; Sebacinaceae.